RNAcentral lists this ribosomal RNA (497 nucleotides) under uncultured bacterium. RNAcentral's name for it is "partial 16S ribosomal RNA". It matches the Rfam family "Bacterial small subunit ribosomal RNA", at positions 28 to 507 of the family's 1533-position model. The record is from RNAcentral.
GAUGAACGCUGGCGGCGUGCCUAAUACAUGCAAGUCGAGCGAACAGACGAGGAGCUUGCUUCUCUGAUGUUAGCGGCGGACGGGUGAGUAACACGUGGAUAACCUACCUAUAAGACUGGGAUAACUUCGGGAAACCGGAGCUAAUACCGGAUAAUAUAUUGAACCGCAUGGUUCAAUAGUGAAAGACGGUUUUGCUGUCACUUAUAGAUGGAUCCGCGCCGCAUUAGCUAGUUGGUAAGGUAACGGCUUACCAAGGCAACGAUGCGUAGCCGACCUGAGAGGGUGAUCGGCCACACUGGAACUGAGACACGGUCCAGACUCCUACGGGAGGCAGCAGUAGGGAAUCUUCCGCAAUGGGCGAAAGCCUGACGGAGCAACGCCGCGUGAGUGAUGAAGGUCUUCGGAUCGUAAAACUCUGUUAUUAGGGAAGAACAAAUGUGUAAGUAACUAUGCACGUCUUGACGGUACCUAAUCAGAAAGCCACGGCUAACUACGUG